Molecule: long non-coding RNA, 483 nt
Organism: Phyllostomus hastatus (greater spear-nosed bat)
Lineage: Eukaryota; Metazoa; Chordata; Mammalia; Chiroptera; Phyllostomidae
Exons: 2
Source: RefSeq, a predicted model, not a curated record
CGCUGUUAUCCUUGAGGACGCGCCACUCCUCCAAGAUCCGAAUCAACGGGCGUACCUAAUUCCCCUUUCCUGGCGACCGAGGCCGAGGCGUCUGCCACAGGGGCGACUCACGCUGGGAGCGGGAUUCGCUCGUCAGUUGCGCUCGGCCUCUUUCCCUCACAGUCGUUUCCGACGCCCGGACCUGCUGUGGGAGUAAAUGAAGACUACCUGGCAGGAAAUGUUUUUAUAGAUUUUAUAGAGAGGAAAGGGGAGAGACAUGGAAGUGAGAAACAUCGAUUAGCUGGCUCCUGUGUACAUGUCCUGACCAGGAAUUGAACCUGCAACCUACCUAACUUUAUCCUGCCAUAAGGAACGGAAUGACACCCUGCUCACUUGGAAUUUUGGACUGGAGGGGUUGUGGCCUUCCACAGAAUCUGCUAGAACUGGUCUGACAUGAAAAGAUUUAUUUAAAUAAAGAUACACAUGAAGAUUCUGCCACAGAAA